This 630-nucleotide unclassified non-coding RNA is filed under the name Zea mays. RNAcentral describes it as "misc RNA Zm00001eb030290". The record is from RNAcentral. Lineage: Eukaryota; Viridiplantae; Streptophyta; Magnoliopsida; Poales; Poaceae.
GUUCUACGAGAAAAAAAGGAAAGGAAAACAAGAACUAGUACUACACCAAUCUCAAACAAGUCGGUCGUUCUCGGACGUACUCCUACUGAUGAUGAGACUGAGAGACAUGAGGGAGGAGGAAGCGGCCUGCCUGGAACUGACCCACCGUCACCACUGCUGCCCUGCCCACACAGCGAUCAAUGCUACAAGACACCCUCACUCACCAUCCUGGGAAUCUGCUGCAUUCAAUACUCCCUUCCCCAAAACAAGAACUGUCAAUGCAUGCAGUCCAUCCAGCCCUCUCUCUCUCAUCAGCCGUCCUGCCCAGCCCAGAUCCACCCCAUCAACCAGCAGGUCCAGUCCAGCCAUCCAACUCCAGCACAGAACGAGAACAGCACCACUGCUGCUGUACUGCUUGCUGUUCGCCUCCCAGCAGUGGAACACCAGCACUUCCCCUUCAGCGUCCAGCCGUCGACCGAGCACACGGCCAGAGCGGUGCCUCGCUUCUGCUUUGGACGCUUGUGAUCCAGUAGAGUAACCAGGAAGGAAGCAAAUCAACACGGCUGCUAAAAAGAAACCGGCGAUUAAACCAGGUGUAAAGUGGUAGUACUAGCCUACUAGGUGUUUUCGAAUUCGCAAUCUUCUCCUGAU